RNAcentral lists this ribosomal RNA (253 nucleotides) under uncultured bacterium. RNAcentral describes it as "partial 16S ribosomal RNA". It matches the Rfam family "Bacterial small subunit ribosomal RNA", at positions 524 to 776 of the family's 1533-position model. The record is from RNAcentral.
UACGGGGGGGGCAAGCGUUGUUCGGAAUUACUGGGCGUAAAGGGCUCGUAGGCGGCCAACUAAGUCAAACGUGAAAUCCCUCGGCUUAACCGGGGAACUGCGCUUGAUACUGGAUGGCUUGAGAUUGGGAGAGGGAUGCGGAAUUCCAGGUGUAGCGGUGAAAUGCGUAGAUAUCUGGAGGAACACCGGUGGCGAAGGCGGCAUCCUGGACCGGCAUUGACGCUGAGGCGCGAAAGCCAGGGGAGCAAACGGG